GAUGGACGCUAGCGGGAGGCCUAACACAUGCAAGCCGAGCGGUAUUGUUUCUUCGGAAAUGAGAGAGCGGCGUACGGGUGCGGAACACGUGUGCAACCUGCCUUUAUCUGGGGGAUAGCCUUUCGAAAGGAAGAUUAAUACUCCAUAAUAUAUUGAACGGCAUCGUUUAAUAUUGAAAGCUCCGGCGGAUAGAGAUGGGCACGCGCAAGAUUAGCUAGUUGGUGAGGUAACGGCUCACCAAGGCGAUGAUCUUUAGGUGGCCUGAGAGGGUGAUCCCCCACACUGGUACUGAGACACGGACCAGACUCCUACGGGAGGCAGCAGUGAGGAAUAUUGGUCAAUGGGUGCAAGCCUGAACCAGCCAUCCCGCGUGAAGGACGACUGCCCUAUGGGUUGUAAACUUCUUUUGUAUAGGGAUAAACCUACCCUCGUGAGGGUAGCUGAAGGUACUAUACGAAUAAGCACCGGCUAACUCCGUGCCAGCAGCCGCGGUAAUACGGAGGGUGCAAGCGUUAUCCGGAUUUAUUGGGUUUAAAGGGUCCGUAGGCGGACUUAUAAGUCAGUGGUGAAAGCCUGUCGCUUAACGAUAGAACUGCCAUUGAUACUGUAAGUCUUGAGUAUAUUUGAGGUAGCUGGAAUAAGUAGUGUAGCGGUGAAAUGCAUAGAUAUUACUUAGAACACCAAUUGCGAAGGCAGGUUACCAAGAUAUAACUGACGCUGAGGGACGAAAGCGUGGGGAGCGAACAGGAUUAGAUACCCUGGUAGUCCACGCCGUAAACGAUGCUAACUCGUUUUUGGGCUUUAGGGUUCAGAGACCAAGCGAAAGUGAUAAGUUAGCCACCUGGGGAGUACGCUCGCAAGAGUGAAACUCAAAGGAAUUGGCGGGGGCCCGCACAAGCGGUGGAUUAUGUGGUUUAAUUCGAUGAUACGCGAGGAACCUUACCAAGACUUAAAUGGGAAUUGACAGCUUUAGAAAUAGAGCUUUCUUCGGACAAUUUUCAAGGUGCUGCAUGGUUGUCGUCAGCUCGUGCCGUGAGGUGUUAGGUUAAGUCCUGCAACGAGCGCAACCCCUGUCACUAGUUGCCAUCAUUCAGUUGGGGACUCUAGUGAGACUGCCUACGCAAGUAGAGAGGAAGGUGGGGAUGACGUCAAAUCAUCACGGCCCUUACGUCUUGGGCCACACACGUAAUACAAUGGCCGGUACAGAGGGCAGCUACACAGCGAUGCGAUGCAAAUCUCGAAAGCCGGUCUCAGUUCGGAUUGGAGUCUGCAACUCGACUCUAUGAAGCUGGAAUCGCUAGUAAUCGCGCAUCAGCCAUGGCGCGGUGAAUACGUUCCCGGGCC
Molecule: ribosomal RNA, 1344 nt
Filed under: uncultured bacterium
Lineage: Bacteria
Description: bacterial SSU rRNA
Rfam family: Bacterial small subunit ribosomal RNA
Source: RNAcentral